GACGAACGCUGGCGGCGUGCUUAACACAUGCAAGUCGAACGGAAAGGCCCUGCUUUUGUGGGGUGCUCGAGUGGCGAACGGGUGAGUAACACGUGAGUAACCUGCCCUUGACUUUGGGAUAACUUCAGGAAACUGGGGCUAAUACCGGAUAGGAGCUCCUGCUGCAUGGUGGGGGUUGGAAAGUUUCGGCGGUUGGGGAUGGACUCGCGGCUUAUCAGCUUGUUGGUGGGGUAGUGGCUUACCAAGGCUUUGACGGGUAGCCGGCCUGAGAGGGUGACCGGCCACAUUGGGACUGCGGUACGGCCCAGACUCCUACGGGAGGCAGCAGUGGGGAAUAUUGCACAGUGGGCGGAAGCCUGAUGCAGCAACGCCGCGUGCGGGAUGACGGCCUUCGGGUUGUAAACCGCUUUCGCCUGUGACGAAGCGUGAGUGACGGUAAUGGGUAAAGAAGCACCGGCUAACUACGUG
RNAcentral lists this ribosomal RNA (468 nucleotides) under uncultured bacterium. Its description in RNAcentral is "partial 16S ribosomal RNA". It matches the Rfam family "Bacterial small subunit ribosomal RNA", at positions 28 to 507 of the family's 1533-position model. The record is from RNAcentral.